AUAAUGGGGAAAUGAGCCUAAGAGAGAAACAAGGUUAAACUAAUGGACAGAUUAGAUAAUGUUGUAGGAAAGUUAGCCAUAAGGUUCAGGGAGAUGUCAGUCUGCAGUUUUCAGAAAGAAUAGAAUACUGGAGUUUAAGGUUUGUAAGAAGCAAAUAAACCCAUUCAUGGGUUUAGAGAGGGGUUGGUGUAAAGCAGGGUAUGGGGAGAGAUAAGGCAU
This is a non-coding RNA of Pelobates cultripes (western spadefoot toad), 219 nucleotides long. The record is from the annotation of a GenBank genome assembly. Lineage: Eukaryota; Metazoa; Chordata; Amphibia; Anura; Pelobatidae.